Molecule: ribosomal RNA, 465 nt
Filed under: uncultured bacterium
Lineage: Bacteria
Description: partial 16S ribosomal RNA
Rfam family: Bacterial small subunit ribosomal RNA
Source: RNAcentral
CCUACGGGUGGCAGCAGUGGGGAAUAUUGCGCAAUGGGCGAAAGCCUGACGCAGCGACGCCGCGUGAGGGAUGAAGGUCUUCGGAUCGUAAACCUCUGUCAGCAGGGAAGAACGGUCACUGUGCUAAUCAGCAGUGAAUUGACGGUACCUGCAAAGGAAGCACCGGCGAACUCCGUGCCAGCAGCCGCGGUAAUACGGAGGGUGCGAGCGUUAUUCGGAAUUACUGGGCGUAAGGCGCUCGUAGGCGGUAUGUCAAGUCAAGGGUGAAAUCCCCGCGCUCAACGUGGGAACUGCCGUUGAAACUGGCAAGCUGGAGUGUGUGGGAGGAUGGUGGAAUUCCAGGUGUAGGAGUGAAAUCCGUAGAUAUCUGGAAGAACAUCAGUGGCGAAGGCGACUAUCUGGCACAUAACUGACGCUGAGGAGCGAAAGCGUGGGUAGCAAACAGGAUUAGAUACCCCGGUAGUC